Molecule: ribosomal RNA, 262 nt
Filed under: Geophagus steindachneri (redhump eartheater)
Lineage: Eukaryota; Metazoa; Chordata; Actinopteri; Cichliformes; Cichlidae
Description: partial small subunit ribosomal RNA
Source: RNAcentral
UUACCCUGUGAAGGAUCCAUAGUAGGCUAAAUUAGUAAAACCCAAAACGCCAGGUCGAGGUGUAGCACAUGAGAGGGGAAGAAAUGGGCUACAUUCCCUAUUUUAGGGAACACGAACAGUGUAAUGAAAAGAACACUAGAAGGAGGAUUUAGUAGUAAGCAGGAAACAGAGUGUUCUGCUGAAACUGGCCCUGAAGCGCGCACACACCGCCCGUCACUCUCCCCAAACCAACUAACCCUAGAUUCAUAACACAUCUGCCCGG